UACGGGAGGCAGCAGUGAGGAAUAUUGGUCAAUGGACGCAAGUCUGAACCAGCCAUGCCGCGUGCAGGAUGACGGUCCUAUGGAUUGUAAACUGCUUUUGUACGAGAAGAAACACUCCGACGUGUCGGAGCUUGACGGUAUCGUAAGAAUAAGGAUCGGCUAACUCCGUGCCAGCAGCCGCGGUAAUACGGAGGAUCCAAGCGUUAUCCGGAAUCAUUGGGUUUAAAGGGUCCGUAGGCGGUUUAGUAAGUCAGUGGUGAAAGCCCAUCGCUCAACGGUGGAACGGCCAUUGAUACUGCUAAACUUGAAUUAUUAGGAAGUAACUAGAAUAUGUAGUGUAGCGGUGAAAUGCUUAGAGAUUACAUGGAAUACCAAUUGCGAAGGCAGGUUACUACUAAUGGAUUGACGCUGACGGACGAAAGCGUGGGUAGCGAACAGGAUUAGAUACCCUGGUAGUCCACGCCGUAAACGAUGGAUACUAGCUGUUGGGAGCAAUUUCAGUGGCUAAGCGAAAGUGAUAAGUAUCCCACCUGGGGAGUACGUUCGCAAGAAUGAAACUCAAAGGAAUUGACGG
Molecule: ribosomal RNA, 574 nt
Filed under: Flavobacterium sp.
Lineage: Bacteria; Pseudomonadati; Bacteroidota; Flavobacteriia; Flavobacteriales; Flavobacteriaceae
Description: bacterial SSU rRNA
Rfam family: Bacterial small subunit ribosomal RNA
Source: RNAcentral